Molecule: long non-coding RNA, 567 nt
Organism: Orussus abietinus
Lineage: Eukaryota; Metazoa; Arthropoda; Insecta; Hymenoptera; Orussidae
Exons: 3
Source: RefSeq, a predicted model, not a curated record
UUGGACGAGAGGUUAUGUCGCUGAUUAAAAUGCUUACAGGUGCGAAAAUGCAUUUGUGCGCAAUUGUUUUUUGAUAUUUUCGGAACUUGAACGCGUCUUGAAUCACUGGACAUAGGGUGAGGAUAAAGUGGAUAAAUUAUAGCGAAUCAAAGGAUGGGAACCUAUCAUUUGAGUUUGCGACUCCACCGUGCGGACAUAAUUUCUAUGAAAACGAUGAUUAAGGAAAUAACUACACCAACGAACCAGAUUACGAAGACCAGGUGGACUUGGGACAUGUCGACGGAGAUAAUUUUAUCCUUACCGCUGUCUUCUUGAUAUUUAACUUGCAGCCAACGGUCCAUCAAUACAUCCAUUAUACCUACCUCAUGCAAUUUUAUUAUACUGUGAAAUGAAAGAAACGAUAACAGCUGUGACUAUGUAAUCGCAGCGGAACAUAGAACAAGAUGCUGUCUUUCGAUGCAGUUCAUCGAAUUACUGAUUCACACUUCUGCUUCACCAACCUUGAUUGCACAUCAUGGAAAAGGUGAACAGCAAGUGAUCACCCAACGAAUAACCCUGCUUAGACUG